AUGGAUAGGCAAGGCAUUUCACCUUCGGUCUACAACAACAACGAGUUCGAUGCCAUGAACAACAACUCCGACGCCAAGAUGGAAAAGCGCAUGGAGGAGAUCAAGGCCCUCAUCAAGAACCGCAAGCGGUCUUCCUCAUCUUCGAGAAGACGCUCAAGUGCAAAGAUUUCCGUGCUACCAUCUCCGGCAAGUACACACAAGCAUCGGCAUCGACAUGACCAUGAAGAGAGAGCUUCUGGACGAGAGUUGGCUUCUCUGCCAACCCCGUGCACACGGGCCUUCGACCCCCGUGCACACGGGACCCCGUGCACACGGCCUCCUGUACCCUCGUGCACACGGGCUAUAUAG
RNAcentral lists this ribosomal RNA (348 nucleotides) under Triticum aestivum (bread wheat). RNAcentral's name for it is "partial small subunit ribosomal RNA". Lineage: Eukaryota; Viridiplantae; Streptophyta; Magnoliopsida; Poales; Poaceae. The record is from RNAcentral.